Molecule: ribosomal RNA, 482 nt
Filed under: uncultured bacterium
Lineage: Bacteria
Description: partial 16S ribosomal RNA
Rfam family: Bacterial small subunit ribosomal RNA
Source: RNAcentral
AUUGAACGCUGGCGGCAUGCCUUACACAUGCAAGUCGAACGGUAACAGGUCUUCGGAUGCUGACGAGUGGCGAACGGGUGAGUAAUACAUCGGAACGUGCCCGAUCGUGGGGGAUAACGGAGCGAAAGCUUUGCUAAUACCGCAUACGAUCUACGGAUGAAAGCAGGGGACCGCAAGGCCUUGCGCGGACGGAGCGGCCGAUGGCAGAUUAGGUAGUUGGUGGGAUAAAAGCUUACCAAGCCGACGAUCUGUAGCUGGUCUGUGAGGACGACCAGCCACACUGGGACUGAGACACGGCCCAGACUCCUACGGGAGGCAGCAGUGGGGAAUUUUGGACAAUGGGCGAAAGCCUGAUCCAGCCAUGCCGCGUGCAGGAUGAAGGCCUUCGGGUUGUAAACUGCUUUUGUACGGAACGAAAAGACUCUUUCUAAUAAAGAGGGUCCAUGACGGUACCGUAAGAAUAAGCACCGGCUAACUACGUG